Molecule: ribosomal RNA, 496 nt
Filed under: uncultured bacterium
Lineage: Bacteria
Description: partial 16S ribosomal RNA
Rfam family: Bacterial small subunit ribosomal RNA
Source: RNAcentral
AUGAACGCUGGCGGCGUGCCUAAUUCCUGCAAGUCGAGCGAACAGACGAGGAGCUUGCUCCUCUGACGUUAGCGGCGGACGGGUGAGUAACACGUGGAUAACCUACCUAUAAGACUGGGAUAACUUCGGGAAACCGGAGCUAAUACCGGAUAAUAUAUUAAACCGCAUGGUUCAAUAGUGAAAGACGGUUUUGCUGUCACUUAUAGAUGGAUCCGCGCCGCAUUAGCUAGUUGGUAAGGUAACGGCUUACCAAGGCAACGAUGCGUAGCCGACCUGAGAGGGUGAUCGGCCACACUGGAACUGAGACACGGUCCAGACUCCUACGGGAGGCAGCAGUAGGGAAUCUUCCGCAAUGGGCGAAAGCUUGACGGAGCAACGCCGCGUGAGUGAUGAAGGUCUUCGGAUCGUAAAACUCUGUUAUUAGGGAAGAACAAAUGUGUAAGUAACUAUGCACGUCUUGACGGUACCUAAUCAGAAAGCCACGGCUAACUACGUG